UGGAGAUGGUCUCUCUGCUUGCCAGCAGAAAUUUUUUUCCAUAGACUUUGGUCUAAGAGCAGGAAAGAAGACAUGGUCAGAGUUUGUAUCGCUUUAAAAAGAAAGUUAUUAUAGUCCUGUCUAGGUGUCUUGUCUUUACUGUUUCCACCAGAAAUACUUAUUAGAGAAUAAUUUUCAUUGACUUCAAUAUGAACUGCCAGAGGAGUGGGUAAUGACGAGCUAAUUUAUCACUUCAUUAGACCAACUGGGAUCAAAGAAUCCUUUUCUGGUUUUCUGAGACAUGAAAAAGAGGUUUGUGCCACAUGGAAUCACCUCUACUGCUUUACUAUUGCCAAAUGGGACACAUUCACAAGAAGUCACAUUUGAAGUAAACAACAUCUGGGAGCACUGCAUACAGUAACUGUUCUGGUCACAGGCAGAGUUUCUCUUCUUGGAUGAUAGCUGUCAUGAUCCAGGACCCUUGAGACCCCAUAAACCCUGAAAAGUACUAUUUCUGGAAUACUGUCCAUAGCAUUUGUAUCUUUAAUUACAUGUCACUCUUAGAAGUGUUACUUAUGAGGUUUCAGUUUGGCCUAAACUGAAUAAAACUAAUGGUCCAAAGGAAAAUGAAAAAGGACUAGAUGGAUCUGCUAUAAUACCUGGAUCUGCUAGAGGAACCUAGAGUACUGCCU
This is a long non-coding RNA of Vidua macroura (Pin-tailed whydah), 671 nucleotides long. RefSeq lists it as uncharacterized. The transcript is spliced from 4 exons. NCBI's taxonomy places the organism in Eukaryota, Metazoa, Chordata, Aves, Passeriformes, Viduidae. The record is from RefSeq and is a predicted model, not a curated record.